This 637-nucleotide ribosomal RNA is filed under the name Hansenula anomala. Its description in RNAcentral is "eukaryotic LSU rRNA". It matches the Rfam family "Eukaryotic large subunit ribosomal RNA", at positions 1 to 597 of the family's 3401-position model. The record is from RNAcentral. Lineage: Eukaryota; Fungi; Ascomycota; Saccharomycetes; Phaffomycetales; Wickerhamomycetaceae.
UAGAAGUAUUUUAGGCUCGGCUUUAACAACAAUAAACUAAAAGUUUGACCUCAAAUCAGGUAGGACUACCCGCUGAACUUAAGCAUAUCAAUAAGCGGAGGAAAAGAAACCAACAGGGAUUGCCUCAGUAACGGCGAGUGAAGCGGCAAAAGCUCAAAUUUGAAAUCUAGCACCUUCGGUGUUCGAGUUGUAAUUUGAAGAUGGUAACCUUGGGUUUGGCUCUGUCUAUGUUCCUUGGAACAGGACGUCAUAGAGGGUGAGAAUCCCGUCUGAUGAGAUGCCCAUUCCUAUGUAAGGUGCUAUCGAAGAGUCGAGUUGUUUGGGAAUGCAGCUCUAAGUGGGUGGUAAAUUCCAUCUAAAGCUAAAUAUUGGCGAGAGACCGAUAGCGAACAAGUACAGUGAUGGAAAGAUGAAAAGAACUUUGAAAAGAGAGUGAAAAAGUACGUGAAAUUGUUGAAAGGGAAGGGCAUUAGAUCAGACUUGGUGUUUUACGAUUAUCUUCUCUUCUUGAGUUGUGCACUCGUAUUUCACUGGGCCAGCAUCGAUUCGGAUGGCAAGAUAAUGGCAGUUGAAUGUGGCUUCACUUCGGUGGAGUGUUAUAGCUUCUGCUGAUAUUGCCUGUCUGGAUCGAGGGCUG